Mus musculus (house mouse) is the source of this 1501-nucleotide RNA transcript. It is a transcript of the gene named Max dimerization protein 3, with no coding region annotated. The record is from RefSeq and is marked validated. The transcript has 6 exons. Lineage: Eukaryota; Metazoa; Chordata; Mammalia; Rodentia; Muridae.
UUCCCGCCCGAGUCGGGGCCCCCGCGGCGGGAGAAGGCGGGGCCGCGCAUCAACCAACCCAGUCUCCGAGGCUCGCGGCCCGCCCGGAGGAUGUGGCCGCGUCCCGCGCGCACGUGUAGCCCAGGCCGGCGCCUGCUAGGACCGGCGCGAUUGCCUGUCGCAGGAGUGGGGCAGCUUGCAGCGCCCGGUGUCCGGGCUGCCUGACCCGGCGGAGGGUUCUUCCCUAAAGCGCAGAGCAGCAGCCCAGUUCAGCCUGGGCGGGAAGAGGCGGGCUGGGCUGGGCAGGGCGGGGCGGACGGGGUUCCCAUGGGCGGGGCGGGGAGGGGCCAGGGCGGGGCGACCGGGGGCGGGGCGGGCCCUGUGCUUGUGGCACCGUGUCAGUUACAUUGAAACAAAAGUGGUAAGGCGGCUGACAGGGCUAGCAUCCCUAGCCCGCUGGUCGUCGGCUGUCGCCGACAUGGAACCCGUGGCUAGCAACAUCCAGGUCCUGCUGCAGGCAGCGGAGUUCCUGGAGAGGCGCGAGAGAGAGGCAGAGCACGGUUAUGCGUCCCUGUGUCCACACCACAGCCCCGGGACCGUCUGCAGGAGGAGGAAGCCACCCCUGCAAGCUCCUGGCGCGCUGAACAGUGGGCGGUCUGUGCACAACGAGCUGGAGAAGCGCAGGAGAGCCCAGCUGAAGCGGUGCUUAGAGCAACUGAGGCAGCAGAUGCCCCUGGGAGUUGACUGUACCCGAUACACUACACUAAGCCUCCUGCGCCGGGCCAGGGUGCAUAUCCAGGGCAGGAGGUGGUGGCCUCUGAAGGUCAUGAAGCCACCCUGGAUGGGGUUCGUUCCAUGGCUGCCUCUCUGUAGACCCUGGGCAGCUGACCCUAUUCCCUGCCCCCGUGGGUUCUACAGAAGCUGGAGGAGCAGGAGCAGCAAGCCCGGCGGCUCAAGGAAAAGCUUCGCAGCAAACAGCAGAGCCUGCAGCAGCAGCUGGAGCAGCUCCAGGGGCUGCCAGGAGCUAGGGAGCGAGAGCGGCUGAGGGCAGACAGCUUGGACUCUUCAGGCCUGUCCUCUGAGCGCUCAGACUCAGACCAAGAGGAUCUGGAGGUGGAUGUGGAGAGCCUGGUGUUUGGGACUGAAACAGAGCUCCUACAGAGCUUCAGCGCUGGGCGGGAGCACAGCUACUCACACAGCACCUGCGCCUGGCUAUGAUGCCCACUGCGGCCUGUACUCUCCUUGGACUGAGCCUGCCAGUCAGUGGCCCCCACACAAGUUGGCUUAGAGCCACAUGUUGAAGAGACUAAAGCCAAGGUGUGGGAGCAGACUCCAGACUCUGCUGCACAGCUUGAGCUUGGGCCACCCUCCCCAUCCCCCAGGGAAUUUCAUGUAGCACUUGGCCCUGCUUUGCUGCUCCCCACAGGGACAGGAAGCCUCAAAACUUCUUGUUCCUGGGCAAAGCCCCAGGCCUCUGCCCGUAUAUACUGCACAGUAUUUUCAUUAAAAUCCUCUUUUGUAA